Molecule: transfer RNA, 73 nt
Filed under: Bos taurus (domestic cattle)
Lineage: Eukaryota; Metazoa; Chordata; Mammalia; Artiodactyla; Bovidae
Also listed under: 1 other name
Rfam family: tRNA
About the family: Transfer RNA (tRNA) molecules are approximately 80 nucleotides in length. Their secondary structure includes four short double-helical elements and three loops (D, anti-codon, and T loops). Further hydrogen bonds mediate the characteristic L-shaped molecular structure. tRNAs have two regions of fundamental functional importance: the anti-codon, which is responsible for specific mRNA codon recognition, and the 3' end, to which the tRNAs corresponding amino acid is attached (by aminoacyl-tRNA synthetases). tRNAs cope with the degeneracy of the genetic code in two manners: having more than one tRNA (with a specific anti-codon) for a particular amino acid; and 'wobble' base-pairing, i.e. permitting non-standard base-pairing at the 3rd anti-codon position.
Source: Rfam by way of RNAcentral
UCCUUGGAGGUCCAGUGGUUAAGAUUCUGCGCUUCCACUGCAGGGGGCAUGGGUUCAAUCCCUGGUCAGGGAA